RNAcentral lists this ribosomal RNA (802 nucleotides) under uncultured bacterium. Its description in RNAcentral is "bacterial SSU rRNA". It matches the Rfam family "Bacterial small subunit ribosomal RNA", at positions 1 to 811 of the family's 1533-position model. The record is from RNAcentral.
GAAUUCGCCCUUAGAGUUUGAUCCUGGCUCAGGACGAACGCUGGCGGCGCGCCUAACACAUGCAAGUCGAACGAGCGAGAGAGAGCUUGCUUUCUCGAGCGAGUGGCGAACGGGUGAGUAACGCGUGAGGAAUCUGCCUCAAAGAGGGGGACAACAGUUGGAAACGACUGCUAAUACCGCAUAAGCCCACGGUGCCGCAUGGCACAGAGGGAAAAGGAGUAAUCCGCUUUGAGAUGGCCUCGCGUCCGAUUAGCUAGUUGGUGAGGUAACGGCCCACCAAGGCGACGAUCGGUAGCCGGACUGAGAGGUUGAACGGCCACAUUGGGACUGAGACACGGCCCAGACUCCUACGGGAGGCAGCAGUGGGGAAUAUUGCACAAUGGGGGAAACCCUGAUGCAGCGACGCCGCGUGGAGGAAGAAGGUCUUCGGAUUGUAAACUCCUGUUGUUGGGGAAGAUAAUGACGGUACCCAACAAGGAAGUGACGGCUAACUACGUGCCAGCAGCCGCGGUAAAACGUAGGUCACAAGCGUUGUCCGGAAUUACUGGGUGUAAAGGGAGCGCAGGCGGGAAGACAAGUUGGAAGUGAAAUCUAUGGGCUCAACCCAUAAACUGCUUUCAAAACUGUUUUUCUUGAGUAGUGCAGAGGUAGGCAGAAUUCCCGGUGUAGCGGUGGAAUGCGUAGAUAUCGGGAGGAACACCAGUGGCGAAGGCGGCCUACUGGGCACCAACUGACGCUGAGGCUCGAAAGUGUGGGUAGCAAACAGGAUUAGAUACCCUGGUAGUCCACACCGUAAACGAUG